Molecule: long non-coding RNA, 662 nt
Organism: Salvia splendens (bonfire salvia)
Lineage: Eukaryota; Viridiplantae; Streptophyta; Magnoliopsida; Lamiales; Lamiaceae
Exons: 3
Source: RefSeq, a predicted model, not a curated record
UUUAUCAUUUCUUCAAAGAAAAUAACACAAAACCAUUCACUCCUAAACCAAAAAACCCUAGUAAUUUAUUUCACACGCUUUAGCGAAAUCGACGAUAUCUCUCAACAGCGACGCUUCUUUAGCGACAACGACCACUCGCUCUGCCGGAGCAGGGAUCGUGGACGGAAAGGUUAAUAAAACUUUCUAAUAACUUCUAUUUUUAGUUUUUGGGUCAAAAUUGAUUCACGAUUUCUGGCAUUUUUAUUCGUUGUCCACAAGUUUAUGAAAGGAUGAAGGUGAACAAGAAAGAAGCACAAAACCAACCUCCGAAAAAUGCCGCUCAAUCUGGUUGGCGAACUUUGAAGAACAAUUGACAGGGAAUCAUUGAUGGCAAAGGCGAAAGCCUAAGCAAAUAUGAAUGGUCCUGAAAAAGAUGGAAGUCAACAUGGGUGAGAGAAGGCCAUUGGAAUUGUCGACUAUCGACUAGAUAUAAGGGUGUGCUUCAGUAUUUAAGAGCUAAAAAGUAUUGUGUUGAAGUUCGCCGAAAAUAAUCACAACUCCCUUUCCAAUAAAACAUCGACAUCCAAACAUUAUGCAACAGACAACAAGAAAAUGAUGAUCGACGUUGAAAAGAUGAUAGCAAGCUACAGAGCUUCUGUAGUGGCCAUGUCAUAAAUUUUGGA